This 485-nucleotide ribosomal RNA is filed under the name uncultured bacterium. RNAcentral describes it as "partial 16S ribosomal RNA". It matches the Rfam family "Bacterial small subunit ribosomal RNA", at positions 30 to 506 of the family's 1533-position model. The record is from RNAcentral.
AUUGAACGCUGGCGGCAUGCCUUACACAUGCAAGUCGAACGGCAGCACGGGUGCUUGCACCUGGUGGCGAGUGGCGAACGGGUGAGUAAUACAUCGGAACAUGUCCUGUAGUGGGGGAUAGCCCGGCGAAAGCCGGAUUAAUACCGCAUACGAUCUACGGAUGAAAGCGGGGAACCUUCGGGCCUCGCGCUAUAGGGUUGGCCGAUGGCUGAUUAGCUAGUUGGUGGGGUAAAGGCCUACCAAGGCGACGAUCAGUAGCUGGUCUGAGAGGACGACCAGCCACACUGGGACUGAGACACGGCCCAGACUCCUACGGGAGGCAGCAGUGGGGAAUUUUGGACAAUGGGCGAAAGCCUGAUCCAGCAAUGCCGCGUGUGUGAAGAAGGCCUUCGGGUUGUAAAGCACUUUUGUCCGGAAAGAAAUCCUUGGCCCUAAUACGGUCGGGGGAUGACGGUACCGGAAGAAUAAGCACCGGCUAACUACGU